RNAcentral lists this ribosomal RNA (207 nucleotides) under uncultured bacterium. RNAcentral's name for it is "partial 16S ribosomal RNA". It matches the Rfam family "Bacterial small subunit ribosomal RNA", at positions 568 to 774 of the family's 1533-position model. The record is from RNAcentral.
UCCGUAGGUUGAUAAUUAAGUCAGAGGUGAAAUCCUGCCGCUCAACGGUAGAAUUGCCUUUGAUACUGGUUAUCUUGAGUUAUUACGAAGUAGUUAGAAUAUGUAGUGUAGCGGUGAAAUGCAUAGAUAUUACAUAGAAUACCAAUUGCGAAGGCAGAUUACUAAUAAUCAACUGACACUGAUGGACGAAAGCGUGGGGAGCGAACA